CUGCCCCCCCUCCCCCAGGACUCACCGACCCCCUGUUAUGGGUCCCAGUUUAACGUUUUUUUCGAGGUUCAGUCCAGCGAGUGGGCCGUAGAGACCAGCACUUGGGGGGCGGGGUCACCUGCAGCCUCCUGUUGUGAUUGAUGUUCUGUGAUUGAUGUUUCCUGUAUAUGGCUUUUGAUAUCAUUUCUGUAACUGUCAUCAUUAAAAAUAUGCUGUUAUUAUAUUUUGAAUUUUCAUAUUAGAAGAUGAGCAUAGAGGAAAUAACUUUUAAGUUAUGUUUACAAUUUUAAACAUCGUUAUUACGUUGUCUAAGGAUACAACUUUAUUUAAAUAGUUAAACGCCCCACGGAAGCAGAUUGUGCCCCUGCAAACUUGGGGAGUAGACCCCCCUUCCUAAUAGAGCUCGUAAGUCGCCAUUGCUCAUGGGACCUAUGAGACCGGAAAAAUAGAUGGGAGUCGAUGGAGAGAAAGUAAUUAUUUUCUGAUCCCAGUCUUUAUAUGCCCCGGAUUACACAUAUGUUGUUUGUGGAUUUAAAUGAUAAUUUUUCAUGCAAAGAAAACUAUAAUUUAGCGGGUAGGAGUUUGAUACGGUUAGUUUUUGUGUGGGGCGCUUUGUGGACUACAACUCCCGCUGCUCUCGACGCGUAUGAUAUACGUCACCACCACUCGCAAACAGAUCCAGCAGUCGGAACAUGGCUGUGUCUUUGGUGCAUUUUACCACCUUCUUUCACCUCGAUCAAGGCUUUUGUGCUCUCCUUGAAAGAAGGUAAAAGGAAAAACCCCGGACACGAGAUGUUAACGGAGCCGUGCUCUAGGCCCUCUCGAAUGCCGGGCCGAAAACAUUUGUUUCACUACGACUGCUUUCAGCUGCCCACCCCUCCUUCAGCAAAAAAUAACAAAACGGCUAAUAAAACGCUUGAGUUGGCGUUUUGAAAAGAGAAAACUAACAUAUUUUUAGUACAGGGCAUAAAGAUAAUUAUGAGCCUUUGAUUGAUAUCCAGUCAUUUUUUGCAGAGACACAUUCCUGUGCCCCACUUGUAUUGGAGUGAACGGAGAUAACUACUUCUGGGCCCCAUUGAAUCGAGGGACCCGUCCACAGCCCGCUUAAACAGCUGCAAUACCCGGCUUGGCCGCUGAGCAGCGGUGGAUUGCGGAAGUAUGCACUGUUCCCCGGGGCUUGGGAGCGCUGUAGUUCAAAGAGUUCUCACACAAAACAUUAAACUUCUUUGCGAUUUUUUUUAUUUUUUCUUUGCAUGAAAAAUUAUAAUUUAAAUCUGCAAACAUAUGUGUAAUCCAGGGCAAAUAAAGACUGGGACCAUAGAAUAAUUACUUUCUCCAUUGAAACCCAUGAAAUAUUUUUUUUUAAUGAUCGUAAAUAAACUAGAUGGCGAAGAAGUAAAAGCUGCGUCACGAUUUGAACUUCACUUUUUCGACUGGGUUUUUGGAUUGUCGGUGCCGUUAAAGUAGUAAACGAUUAUUAAUGCUACUUUAACGGCACAGACAAUCCAAAAACCCAGUCGAGAUUAGAUGAAAAAAGUUGUGGUUGGCCAUUUCCAUGUAUUAUGUUCAGCUUGUUUGACUGUGCAUGUAAUUUACGAUUUAAUGUAAAGAUAAUGUCAUGAUUUCGAUUAUACUGCGAGUGUUUAUCUGCACCUGCAUAGUUUUCACAGUGAAGUUGGAGGAAAAAUCUUCAAUCAAACCGGUUGCAAGGAAACCACUUGUGUCUGCAAAAUGCUUCAGGGAUUUAUAAUUUCCUUGUUACAAAAUACAUCUACAACUUCUGUGAUCAAGCCAUGUACAAAUGAAAAAAAUCAUUUAUUCUGAAUUCACCAUUUGUAAGACAAAGAAGGCACUGAGACUGUCGUAGGAAAUGUUUUGGCACAAAGUGUUUACAGCGAUGGAGCGCAUUAACCGCUCCUCAAGCUCCAGGAAGUCCUCUUCUCCGCUAGGGGCUGCUACCGAACCAGGUAUUCCUGAUGAAACAUCAACAUUACUACACAUCGUGGACUCGGGUGGUCAUGUGAUUUAUGAAUGAAUGUUAUUCUAACACGGCCAUGAGAACCAACAUUGACCAAAUCACCUUCCGCCGGUUGAGCGCCACCUGGCAGAAGGAGAAGCCCCCCACCACCACGUAGACGGCCGCCGCGAUGAAGCAGUUGUAGGCGACCUGGUUGUAGAUCCCGUAGACCUUCUGAGGAGGGUUGGUACUGGAACCACAAGAGGUUAGGUUAGUGAACAGGACCGAGACAGGUUAGUGAAAGAGACACAGGUUAGUGAACUGGACCUCUGGUUAGUAGUUGCGAUAGGAUAACCUACUCCCUCAAGUCCUCCUCAGUCAGCGGGACGUCCUCGAUGAGCACCGCGGAGUGGGUUCUGAAGAAGACCCCCAGCAGGGCCUGAGGGGGAGACGGGAGAGGGUGAGACGGGAGCGGGUUAGGGGGACCGGACCGCGAGGAGCGUGAAUCACCUACCAGCAUGACGACACCCCAGACGCUGAUCACGAUGCCGCACGUCGCCAGCUUGGGCCCGCAGAUCAGACACGACAUGACGAGGAGGAUAACUAGAGGAGAAGUGGAGGUAAGAGCUCAGACCACCGAUCGAACUGUUGGCUGGUUUUAGAACUCCUGCCCUGAGUCAGCUGACAGCAGGUCAGCUGACAGCAUGUCACCGGACUUCCUGAUUGAAAACUAAAACCGGAAGUCUGAGGACGUACAUGAGGGUGCGUUCAAGACAUUCUUCCAUGGUCUAUGUCUAUGGUUCAAGAGCCCUACCAUAGAUAUAUUAUAUACACAGUGUUCUAUAUAUAUAUAUAUGAGCCCGACGGUAGCCCUCUGGCUCUAUGGACCAAUUAAAGAACAGAACAGUAACAAGCUCCAUCAGCUCCCAGCUGAUGGAGCUGUUCAAGAGCUGCGAGACGGACUCGCUCAUCAACUUCUUCUCCAAAACAGGUGACCAUCCAACUCUCUCUGUUCAUUCCCGACCCCUCUCCUCACCCUAGGACCAGGCGGCUGAGUGCAGCAGGAAGCUCUUCAUCUUCCACGCCUCCAUCCCGACCGCUGAGGCUCCUGGGAAGUUGAAGAACCGAGACGAUAAGAAGCUGGUCAGCACGGACAAGGAGAAGCCUAUCAAGGAAUGCUGAUCUUUCAGCUGUCCAAGGACUGUGUAGCUCAGGGCUUCCGCGUGGACCUCUUCCUGUUCCCCAGCCAGUACCUGGACAUCGCCACCAUGGGGGAUGUGCCCGCGCACACCGGGGGCGCCGUCUACAAGUACAGCAACUUCCAGGAGUGUGUGUUUGGGUGGGUUGGUGGGUCAGUUGUGUGUGCGUGUGUGUGUCUGUGUUUGUGUGUGUGGGGGUGUGAGUGUUAUAUUGCUUGUGUGUUUGUUGCCGUGUUGAUGGGAUGAGUGUGAGUGUGUGUGUGUGUGUGUCUGUGCGUGUGUGUCUGUGCGUUUAGAACACAUUACAAUCUAUUUAAACAUGGAUGUUUUUGUGGCCCGAAAUGGGAAAACAAUCUAUUAAUGAAACUCUGGAUACUUUCUAGUUAGGCUAUUGUCUCUGGCUACAGGCCAGGCAUGUGCACUUGAAGCAGACUUUAGAUCAGAUGUAAAAAAACAACGCUUAGCUUUGCUUUAUUAUUAUAUUUACUCAGUAGUUGGCCUCAAGUGAUAAAGAAAGAGUAGCAAUUAAUUAGGAUUCAAAAGACUGUUUAUCACACUUUGUUCAAUUUACAAUUGAUUUGAAAAUAAAACCAACACACCCACAAACUCAAAAUAAAAAGUAUGAUAUCACGUUUGCUGUAUUGUCGCAGUAAUUUACACACAAUACAUGCAUACACACAAAUAUGCACAUAGAGAAUCCCAAUGCAUUGCACACAAAGCCAAAUGAAAAUGUGUACCUUUUUCAAUAUUACCAAUGAGAACACUAUAAAUUAGCUUCUUUCAAUGUUAUGAAUUUUGAGAGGCAGACGAAUUGUUGUAUGUUUUUGUAAACGCAUCUGAAAGGCCUUUGCCCCCACACCUUUUGUGAUUUCUUUUUUUGUAUUGGAGGAAAAUAAACAAUGUUUCCGCGGUCUUGCUGUGGUUCUUCAGUCCUCCUCAGCCAAUGAUCUGACGCACGUACACAGUUCAACCCUUGUAUUUGGAGCAGCCGUUUGUGAUCAGUUGUGACCUGAGCCUUUUUAUCCGCCCUUCAUUUGACUGAAGUCGAUUUCACCCCGAUAUUGAAGUCCUUCAAUAGCUUGGCACCCAUUAUGGCACUGGUCAAAGGUCAGCCCGGAGAGUCAAACACACUGGGUGACUCUGGGAGGAGCUGAGCAUGCUGGGAAAUGGAGUACAGAGAAGCGUAUCUCUGAAACCAUAGAGAAGUGGUGAGAAAUGUAUAAUCCUUUAUAAAUGAUUAUUGAGAUGAUUCAUACUAUUAUUUAUAAGGUUUGUUAAUGAUUUACAAUUUAAUACGUUAGUUCUUUAUGAACACCGAAUAUUGCUGCAGUUCAUGUUUUGUUCAGCUUGCUAGAAAGCAAUUGUUAAAGGGUUGAUAUUACCACCGUGCGUCAGUGUGAUUAGCCAUGACGAGGCUAAGCACACACACCUGGUGACAUAAUAUCACCACUUCAAUUCAAAGUCUUAUUGGUCACAUGUUUGCAAAAAUAACAUUUUACACACAGUAAAAUUAAAAAGGAGUCAUCACUCUGUCAUUCACUCUAUGUAUUUUUAUGUGAGCUCAUCUAAAGUAGGGACAAUCUAUGCCUAACUAAGAAUUUAAAGAUCACAUUUAAAGCUGGAAAAACCUGAAGUACCAUUGCAACAGUACCGAUACUCAUAAUAAUAAUAAAAAUUUUAUUACAUUUAUUUCACUGACGCUUUUAUCAAAAGCAAUGUCAUAAGUUCAUAAACUCAUUCAACAUGAAGAUAUGACCCAACAAGUGACAGAAUCACGCAAGUACAAACAUUUAAUCAGUAAGCAGAGUUCUGAAUUAAUCAAACCAGUAAAUUCAGUUAUUUAAAUGUUUUCUAUUAAAAAAAAUAUUUUAGGGUAGCACAUGUUUAGUUUGUGUCAUUUCAUUAGUUGGACAGUAGCCUAUCAGGGACUUAUCAGGAAAGGUGUGGUAUAAUGUCAUAUUCUGGUCAAUAUUUCGAUUUUAUUGAUCAUUAUUUAGCCUUGUGAAAUUAAGUCUUGUUCCUUUUUUCUUACAAGUUUUCUAAUAAUACGAGUCAAGAGAUGUUCCUAUUAUAGGAGAAAGCCACUAAUUGCCUAGCUCCUUGAGUUUGUUAAUCUGCGUCACAAUCACACACAGCUGCUCAGUUGGUAAAGCUGUUGGUGUUCUUUGGGUUGGUAUAAGGAUUAUAAUUUAUAUUACUUUGUUGUAUACAAAAUAUAUCAGGUUUCAGAAGAGAGCGUGGUUGAAGAGACUUGAACCCAUGUCUCCAGAAUGAGGGUGACCUGCUCUAACAACUACACCACUGAGACACUUUUCAUUAAGUGGUUGGAGGUUAUAAUUGACAUUCAAUUUCACGCGACGUGAAUCGUUAAGUCAAUUAUGAACUCUGAUUAAGUCUGAACCAGUUGCUCAGUGGGGCAGUGGAUAGAGCUGUAUGUGUUCUGUUCUUGAGUCGUGAAUAUGACCUGGGUUCAAAUCCUGUCAGGAACACUCACCUUGGAUUGGAGUCUUUUUCCAACAAUGUCAUGUGUAUUGUAGGGUCAACAAUGAACUUUCUCCCUUUCUAAGUCGGUGUCUCUGUGGCGCAGGUGAUAGAGCUGUUGAGGAUCUGUUCUGGAGACACCGGUUCGAUUCCUGCAAUUGGGGGUUUUGUGAGAAUCACUCUCUGGUGAUUGGAUGCGUGUGAAUGACUGUCUCUGUGAAUGGAUGUGUCUGUGAAUCAGUUAAUUCACAGCCAUCCAAUCACACUGACAGUCAUUGGGAAUGAAUGGGCGAGUGGGAAUGACUGUCUGGGAGAGUGGAUGACUGUGAAUGAGUGCACUCAUUCACAGCCAUCCAUUCCCACAGACAGUCAUUCGAAAUGAAUGUGUGAGUGAAUGGACCCAAUCAGCAGAGAGUCGUUCCCAUAAGACCCCCCCCGUAGGAGUCAGACCGAUGACUCCAGAACAGAUCCUCAACAGCUCAAACACCGAGAGGAGGGGACGUUUUGAUAAACGUUGCUCUG
Gadus chalcogrammus (walleye pollock) is the source of this 6159-nucleotide long non-coding RNA. RefSeq lists it as uncharacterized. The record is from RefSeq and is a predicted model, not a curated record. NCBI's taxonomy places the organism in Eukaryota, Metazoa, Chordata, Actinopteri, Gadiformes, Gadidae. The transcript is spliced from 3 exons.